Molecule: ribosomal RNA, 292 nt
Filed under: Blautia massiliensis (ex Durand et al. 2017)
Lineage: Bacteria; Bacillati; Bacillota; Clostridia; Lachnospirales; Lachnospiraceae
Description: partial 16S ribosomal RNA
Rfam family: Bacterial small subunit ribosomal RNA
Source: RNAcentral
UUUUAUCAGAGAGUUUGAUCCUGGCUCAGGAUGAACGCUGGCGGCGUGCUUAACACAUGCAAGUCGAACGGGAAUUACUUUAUUGAAACUUCGGUCGAUUUAAUUUAAUUCUAGUGGCGGACGGGUGAGUAACGCGUGGGUAACCUGCCUUGUACAGGGGGAUAACAGUCAGAAAUGGCUGCUAAUACCGCAUAAGCGCACAGGACCGCAUGGUCCGGUGUGAAAAACUCCGGUGGUAUAAGAUGGACCCGCGUUGGAUUAGCUUGUUGGCAGGGUAACGGCCUACCAAGGC